ACCGGCGCACGGGUGCGUAACGCGUAUGCAAUCUACCUUGUACAGGGGGAUAGCCCAGAGAAAUUUGGAUUAAUGCCCCAUAGUAUCUUUUGAAGGCAUCUUCAAAUUAUUAAAGUUCCAACGGUACAAGAUGGGCAUGCGUCCCAUUAGUUAGUUGGUGUGGUAACGGCACACCAAGACGAUGAUGGGUAGGGGUCCUGAGAGGGAGAUCCCCCACACUGGUACUGAGACACGGACCAGACUCCUACGGGAGGCAGCAGUGAGGAAUAUUGGGCAAUGGAGGCAACUCUGACCCAGCCAUGCCGCGUGCAGGAAGACGGCCCUAUGGGUUGUAAACUGCUUUUGUACGGGAAGAAACACUCCUACGUGUAGGAGCUUGACGGUACCGUAAGAAUAAGGAUCGGCUAACUCCGUGCCAGCAGCCGCGGUAAUACGGAGGAUCCAAGCGUUAUCCGGAAUCAUCGGGUUUAAAGGGUCCGUAGGCGGCCUUAUAAGUCAGUGGUGAAAUCUCCCAGCUCAACUAGGAAACUGCCAUUGAUACUGUAGGGCUUGAAUUUUUGUGAAGUAACUAGAAUAUGUAGUGUAGCGGUGAAAUGCUUAGAUAUUACAUGGAAUACCAAUUGCGAAGGCAGGUUACUAACAAACGAUUGACGCUGAUGGACGAAAGCGUGGGGAGCGAACAGGAUUAGAUACCCUGGUAGUCCACGCCGUANACGAUGGAUACUAGCUGUUCGAACGCAAGUUUGAGUGGCUAAGCGAAAGUGAUAAGUAUCCCACCUGGGGAGUAC
Molecule: ribosomal RNA, 788 nt
Filed under: uncultured marine bacterium
Lineage: Bacteria
Description: bacterial SSU rRNA
Rfam family: Bacterial small subunit ribosomal RNA
Source: RNAcentral